AUUUCCGGGGCUAAAACGUACUACCGAAGCUACGGCAUCAUUUAUGAUGGGUAGGAGAGCUUCCCAUACGGGUUGAAGCAUGACCGAAAGGACAUGUGGACUGUAUGGGAGUGAGAAUGUUGGCAUGAGUAGCGAGAUGUGGGUGAGAAUCCCACAGGCCGUAAACCCAAGGUUUCCAGGGGAAGGUUCGUCCGCCCUGGGUUAGUCAGGACCUAAGCCGAGGCCGAAAGGCGUAGGUGAUGGACAACAGGUUGAUAUUCCUGUACCACCAAUAACCGUUUGAGAAAUGGGAUGACACAGAAGGAUAAGCUAACCGCACUGUUGGUUAUGUGCGGGCAAGUAUUGAGGCAGUUCUGGUAGGCAAAUCCGCCAGAAUAAUGCUAGGGUACGAUGCGGAGCGAAAUUUAGUAGCGAAGUAGCUGAUUUCACACUGUCGAGAAAAGUCUCUAUCGAGGUUAAAGGUGCCUGUACCGCAAACCGACACAGGUGGGUGAGGAGAGUAUCCUAAGGCCAGCCAGAGAACUGUUGUUAAGGAACUCGGCAAAAUGACCCCGUAACUUAGGGAGAAGGGGUGCCUUCGAAAGAAGGCCGCAGAGAAUAGGCCCAAGCGACUGUUUACCAAAAACAUAGGUUUCUGCUAAGUCGCAAGACGAUGUAUAGGAGCUGACGCCUGCCCGGUGCUGGAAGGUUAAGGGGAUCUGUUAGAGCAAUCGAAGCAGUGAACUUAAGCCCCAGUAAACGGCGGCCGUAACUAUAACGGUCCUAAGGUAGCGAAAUUCCUUGUCGGGUAAGUUCCGACCCGCACGAAAGGCGUAACGAUUUGGGCACUGUCUCAACAACAGACUGGGUGAAAUUGUAAUACCGGUGAAGAUGCCGGUUACCUGCGACAGGACGGAAAGACCCCAUGGAGCUUUACUGUAGCUUGACAUUGAGUCUCGGUGCUACAUGUACAGGAUAGGUGGGAGGCUAUGAAGCAUGGACGUCAGUUUGUGUGGAGCCAUCCUUGGGAUACCACCCUUGUAGUACUGGGAUUCUAACCAGCUGCCUUGAAUCAGGUAGUGGGACACUGUCAGGUGGACAGUUUGACUGGGGCGGUCGCCUCCUAAAGAGUAACGGAGGCGCUCAAAGGUUCUCUCAGUACGGUCGGAAAUCGUACGUAGAGUGUAAAGGCAGAAGAGAGCUUGAUUGCAAGACAUACAGGUCGAGCAAGGACGAAAGUCGGACUUAGUGAUCCGGUGGUUCCGCAUGGAAGGGCCAUCGCUCAACGGAUAAAAGCUACCCUGGGGAUAACAGGCUGAUCUCCCCCAAGAGUCCACAUCGACGGGGAGGUUUGGCACCUCGAUGUCGGCUCAUCACAUCCUGGGGCUGUAGUAGGUCCCAAGGGUUGGGCUGUUCGCCCAUUAAAGUGGUACGCGAGCUGGGUUCAGAACGUCGUGAGACAGUUCGGUCCCUAUCCGUCGCAGGCGUAGGAAAUUUGAGGAGACCUGUCCUUAGUACGAGAGGACCGGGAUGGACGUACCGCUGGUGUACCAGUUGUUCUGCCAAGGGCAUGGCUGGGUAGCUAAGUACGGAAAGGAUAAGCGCUGAAAGCAUCUAAGCGCGAAGCCUACUUCGAGAUAAGAUUUCCCACCGCAAGGUUAAGACCCCAUGAAGACUACAUGGUUGA
RNAcentral lists this ribosomal RNA (1666 nucleotides) under human gut metagenome. RNAcentral describes it as "bacterial LSU rRNA". It matches the Rfam family "Bacterial large subunit ribosomal RNA", at positions 1170 to 2856 of the family's 2925-position model. The record is from RNAcentral.